AGUGAAACUGCGUACAGCUCAUUAUAUCAGUUAUUAUUUAUUUGAUGGUACCUUACUACAUGGAUACCCGUAGUAAUUCUAGAGCUAAUACAUGCGUCAAGUCCCGACUUUUUGGAAGGGAUGUAUUUAUUAGAUAAAAAACCAAUGCAGGCAACUGCUCUCUUGGUGAUUCAUAGUAACUUUUCGGAUCGCACGGCUUCACGUCGGCGACAGUUCAUUCAAAUUUCUGCCCUAUCAGCUUUCGACGGUACUGUAGUGGACUACCGUGGCAUUAACGGGUGACGGAGAAUUAGGGUUCGAUUCCGGAGAGGGAGCCUGAGAAACGGCUACCACAUCCAAGGAAGGCAGCAGGCGCGCAAAUUACCCGAUCCUGACACAGGGAGGUAGUGACAAAAAAUAACAAUACCGGGCCUUUUUAGGUCUGGUAAUUGGAAUGAGUACAAUUUAAAUCCCUUAACGAGUAUCCAUU
Molecule: ribosomal RNA, 469 nt
Filed under: uncultured eukaryote
Lineage: Eukaryota
Description: SSU rRNA
Rfam family: Eukaryotic small subunit ribosomal RNA
Source: RNAcentral